AGAGUUUGAUCCUGGCUCAGGACGAACGCUGGCGGCGUGCCUAAUGCAUGCAAGUCGAGCGGGCUACGAUCUUCGGAUUGUAGCUUAGCGGCGAACGGGUGAGUAACACGUAGGUGAUCUACCCUUCAGAGGAGGACAACCUCAGGAAACUGAGGCUAAACCUUCAUACGUUCACUGGUAGGGAUACUGGUGAAGAAAGAGUUACCCCUAGAGGGUAGCUGCUGAAGGAUGAGCCUGCGGCCCAUCAGGUAGUUGGUGAGGUAACGGCUCACCAAGCCGAAGACGGGUAACCGGUCUGAGAGGAUGUCCGGUCACACUGGGACUGAGACACGGCCCAGACUCCUACGGGAGGCAGCAGCAGGGAAUCUUGGGCAAUGGGCGAAAGCCUGACCCAGCGACGCCGCGUGGAGGAAGAAGUCCUUCGGGGCGUAAACUCCUGGACUGGGGGACGAGUAAGGACGGUACCCCAGUAGAAAGGGACGGCUCACUACGUGCCAGCAGCCGCGGUAAAACGUAGGUCCCGAGCGUUGUUCGGAUUCACUGGGUGUAAAGGGCGCGUAGGUGGUUGUCUGUGUCUCAUGUGAAAACUCAGGGCUCAACUCUGAGAUUGCGUGGGAAACUAGGCAGCUAGAGGACGGUAGAGGGGAGUGGAAUUCCCGGUGUAGCGGUAAAAUGCGUAGAUAUCGGGAGGAACACCGGUGGCGAAGGCGGCUCUCUGGGCCGAUCCUGACGCUGAGGCGCGAAAGCUAGGGGGGCGAACCGGAUUAGAUACCCGGGUAGUCCUAGCCGUAAACGAUGGGUGCUAGGUGUUG
This 812-nucleotide ribosomal RNA is filed under the name uncultured bacterium. RNAcentral's name for it is "bacterial SSU rRNA". It matches the Rfam family "Bacterial small subunit ribosomal RNA", at positions 8 to 825 of the family's 1533-position model. The record is from RNAcentral.